GAUGAACGCUGGCGGCGUGCCUAAUACAUGCAAGUCGAGCGAACAGACGAGAGUGCUUGCACUCUCUGACGUUAGCGGCGGACGGGUGAGUCACACGUGGGUAACCUACCUAUAAGACUGGGAUAACUUCGGGAAACCGGAGCUAAUACCGGAUAAUAUUUAGCUUCGCAUGAAGCAAUAGUGAAAGACGGUUCUGCUGUCACUUAUAGAUGGACCCGCGGUGUAUUAGCUAGUUGGUGAGGUAACGGCUCACCAAGGCAGCGAUACAUAGCCGACCUGAGAGGGUGAUCGGCCACACUGGGACUGAGACACGGCCCAGACUCCUACGGGAGGCAGCAGUAGGGAAUCUUCCGCAAUGGACGAAAGUCUGACGGAGCAAUGCCGCGUGAGUGAAGAAGGUUUUCGGAUCGUAAAACUCUGUUGUAAGGGAAGAACAAGUACGUUAGUAACUGAACGUACCUUGACGGUACCUUACCAGAAAGCCACGGCUAACUACGUG
This 499-nucleotide ribosomal RNA is filed under the name uncultured bacterium. RNAcentral's name for it is "partial 16S ribosomal RNA". It matches the Rfam family "Bacterial small subunit ribosomal RNA", at positions 28 to 507 of the family's 1533-position model. The record is from RNAcentral.